GCUUAGAUCAGGCCCAAAACAAUCAAGCCUGACCCUACCCGAGCCUGGCCCGGCCCAACACAUUAACUGUAAUUGUGAACCUGAGCCCGAUUUAAACCCGAAAUUUUUUGUAUAC
This is a long non-coding RNA of Etheostoma spectabile (orangethroat darter), 115 nucleotides long. RefSeq lists it as uncharacterized. The transcript has 3 exons. The record is from RefSeq and is a predicted model, not a curated record. Lineage: Eukaryota; Metazoa; Chordata; Actinopteri; Perciformes; Percidae.